RNAcentral lists this antisense RNA (69 nucleotides) under Streptosporangium subroseum. Its description in RNAcentral is "ASpks TB sRNA". It matches the Rfam family "ASpks TB sRNA". The record is from Rfam by way of RNAcentral. Lineage: Bacteria; Bacillati; Actinomycetota; Actinomycetes; Streptosporangiales; Streptosporangiaceae.
CUUGAGCGAGCCCAGCCAGAGCGGCUCCUCGCGGUCCUGGCCGUACGUCGCCAGCAGGGCCUGGGCCUC